GAUGAACGCUGGCGGCGUGCCUAAUACAUGCAAGUCGAGCGAACAGACGAGGAGCUUGCUCCUCUGACGUUAGCGGCGGACGGGUGAGUAACACGUGGAUAACCUACCUAUAAGACUGGGAUAACUUCGGGAAACCGGAGCUAAUACCGGAUAAUAUUUUGAACCGCAUGGUUCAAUAGUGAAAGACGGUUUUGCUGUCACUUAUAGAUGGAUCCGCGCCGCAUUAGCUAGUUGGUAAGGUAACGGCUUACCAAGGCAACGAUUCGUAGCCGACCUGAGAGGGGUAGUCGCCCCCCCGGAACCUAGACACGGUCCCGAAUCCCAAGGGAGGGCGCAGUAGGGAAUCCUUCCGCAUGGGGCAAAGCCCUACGGAGGAACCGCGGCGUAGGUAAGAAGGUCCUUCGAUUCGAAAAACUUGUUAUUAGGGAAGAACAAAUGGGUAAGUUAACUUGCCCCGCCUUAAGGUAACUAAACAGAAAGCCCCCGCUAACCUCGUG
Molecule: ribosomal RNA, 497 nt
Filed under: uncultured bacterium
Lineage: Bacteria
Description: partial 16S ribosomal RNA
Rfam family: Bacterial small subunit ribosomal RNA
Source: RNAcentral